RNAcentral lists this unclassified non-coding RNA (331 nucleotides) under soil metagenome. RNAcentral describes it as "partial contains 5.8S ribosomal RNA, internal transcribed spacer 2, and large subunit ribosomal RNA". The stretch from base 1 to 120 matches the Rfam family "5.8S ribosomal RNA", at positions 35 to 154 of the family's 154-position model. The record is from RNAcentral.
GAUGAAGAACGCAGCGAAAUGCGAUAAGUAGUGUGAAUUGCAGAAUUCAGUGAAUCAUCGAAUCUUUGAACGCACAUUGCGCCCUUUGGUAUUCCUUAGGGCAUGCCUGUUCGAGCGUCAUUUAAACCUUCAAGCUAAGCUUGGUGUUGGGUGACUGUCCGCUUCACUGCGGACUCGCCUCAAAAUUAUUGGCGGCCGGUACAUUGGCUUCGAGCGCAGCAGAAACGCGAACUCGGGCCCGUCGUAUUGGCUCCCAGAAGCUAUCUUCACAAUUUUGACCUCGGAUCAGGUAGGGAUACCCGCUGAACUUAAGCAUAUCAAUAAGCGGAGG